RNAcentral lists this transfer RNA (67 nucleotides) under Marmota monax (woodchuck). RNAcentral describes it as "tRNA.Ala". Lineage: Eukaryota; Metazoa; Chordata; Mammalia; Rodentia; Sciuridae. The record is from RNAcentral.
GGUUGUGGCUCAGUGGUAGAGUGCUUGCCUUGCAUGUGUGAGGCACUGGGUUUGAUCCUCAGCACCA